AGAACCCAGCUCAGAAGGAGCCGCUCACCUCAAAGAGUGGGAGCAGGGAUUGGGGGAGGGGGGACAGGGUGCGCGCGGGGAAAUGGCCUGCAACCGACCUGAUCAGCGUUCUCAAGCUCAGGUCGGUUUGCCUGUCCGGGUCUGGGACUAGCAAAGGGACAGAGGAGGGCAACUCUCUCAGCACUCGCUGGCUCGGACGUUAGUUAAAUCUAACAGCAGUCACCAGUGCAUCCCCAUCUGCAAAGGCCAAAAGCUGGGACAACCUGCCAGGAGCCCCUGGACGUCAGGGGAAGUUUGGACACAGCCCACAAGAGAAGAAUGCCGGGGGAAGAUGAAGAUGUCCGUCUACCAGCCAAGGAGAGAGACCAGGAGCAACGCCUCCCUCACGGCCCUCAGAAGGAACCAAGCCUGCGGACACCUUAAUUUUAUACUUCCAGCCUCCAGAACCCGGAGACAAUACAUUUCUGUUGCAUAAGC
This is a long non-coding RNA of Orcinus orca (killer whale), 477 nucleotides long. RefSeq lists it as uncharacterized. Lineage: Eukaryota; Metazoa; Chordata; Mammalia; Artiodactyla; Delphinidae. The record is from RefSeq and is a predicted model, not a curated record. The transcript has 2 exons.